RNAcentral lists this long non-coding RNA (800 nucleotides) under Triticum aestivum (bread wheat). RNAcentral describes it as "long non-coding RNA (TAES_LNC005810)". Lineage: Eukaryota; Viridiplantae; Streptophyta; Magnoliopsida; Poales; Poaceae. The record is from RNAcentral.
UUUCGCAAAAAAAAAGUCCAAAAGCACACAGACUUACUAAUUCCUCCUAGUGGAAAAGAACAGAGCCUACAAAAAUCUCUUAAGCAAAGAAUAUUUUACUAAAAUCUGCAAUCCAUGUACUACUACACAAGACAUACAAGAGUUUUACACAAAAGAGGGGCCAGCUUAACUAGCUAGAAUACAAAGUUUCAGCUACCAUAUAUGUAGGGAUUGUGUCUUGUCUUAAUUUCCAGGGAGCUAGUCUUGACAGGAAUGGUUCUAGUUCAUGUCCCCAGAUGAUUGAGAAAAGCCCGAGCAAAGACUCGACAGCAUUCUUGGUGGGGUAUAACAAGGAAAACAAAAAUGUCUACACAGAAUCUUUGUGAUGCAUGUGAAGAGUAAAUCAAAGGAGUAUUAACAGUCACUCCAGUUGGUAUCAAAUAAAGCCUGAAACAAUUCUCGGAAUUUCGCAAACCAGAUUAAGAUCAUCAGUGAACUGUAACAAACAGUCAAACACAAACUUGUCCAGAACAUCUUCACAGAGCCCGAGCAGAGUGUUGCCAACCCCAUUGAUGCCAGUCCAGCAAGAUCUGAAGAGAUAAUAAAAAUUCUUCUCAGUGUGGAUCAACUUGACAAAACGAAUAAAGUUAAGGAAUAUAACGUUUGAGUGUCAGGUUAUUACAUCAUGUUUUGUGCUGCUCCUGUGUCUUUGCUCUCACUCUGAUCCCCAGGCUAUGUUGUAAAACAACUGACUUUCAAGUUGUAAAAGAGAAAGUAAAAGUCGCAGCAGUGGAGCAUUUAGGGCACCAAAACCAGACAGG